UGGCCAGGUAUAUGUAGGAUGUUUGUAAAAGUAGAAUGCGCAGAAAUGUACAGAAGGCUGGGAAUAGUGCUGCCGUGUUAUAAGCCCUAAGGACAGUUGAGGUCAUUAAGAUGCCUGAAAAUGGCUACAAUA
Molecule: small nucleolar RNA, 132 nt
Filed under: Jaculus jaculus (lesser Egyptian jerboa)
Lineage: Eukaryota; Metazoa; Chordata; Mammalia; Rodentia; Dipodidae
Description: Small nucleolar RNA SNORA33 (ENSJJAG00000006283.1)
Source: RNAcentral